GCCGGAGUAGCUCAGCUGGUAGAGCAACCGCCUUGUAAGCGGUAGGUCAGGGGUUCGAGUCCCCUCUCCGGCU
Molecule: transfer RNA, 73 nt
Filed under: Solirubrobacteraceae bacterium
Lineage: Bacteria; Bacillati; Actinomycetota; Thermoleophilia; Solirubrobacterales; Solirubrobacteraceae
Also listed under: 5 other names
Description: tRNA-Thr
Rfam family: tRNA
About the family: Transfer RNA (tRNA) molecules are approximately 80 nucleotides in length. Their secondary structure includes four short double-helical elements and three loops (D, anti-codon, and T loops).
Source: RNAcentral